AACCUGAAUUGAAUAUUCAGAAGAAAAUGAAUGGAUAGACUGACAUUUGUUUAAAUACUUCUAGAAAUCUGAGCUGUUGGUGUGUCCUUGGAUUGUGUGGUAAUAAUAUUAGAGCUGGCAAUCUUUCUUACUGAAUCUCUACUAUGAGUCAUGUUACCUGAGAUUAAUUCUAUGUUUACCUGACAGCCUGGACAAAUGUGCUGUGUGAAGGAUGUAAAUCAAAUCAGAUCUUAACUGCUUACAUUUAAGGAGCCUGGUCAUAUUUAAUUGUAAUAUGAACCAAUGAUUUUCUGAUUGCUGAUUCUAAGAGAGUCUUUGUGGAAAUCCUGUUUGGCUUUUUGUCAUUUUAAUUCUCUUUUCCGUUUGCCAGAACAGUUCUCCACAGUCGCUGUCUACAUGGGUCAGUGGGACCAAGAAGCACUCUGCUAAUGUGGGACUCUGACCAGCAACAUCCAGCAAGACCCAGGUAGCGUUUUCUAUCUCCCAGCUGGAGUUUUUUGUUUGUGACGGGAGAGUCAGAUUUUUGUUGAGGCUGGAGGAACAGCCUCACACUUGCAGAGGUUAAUACACGCUACUGAUCCCUGAUGGGAGAAUCAUCACCUCUGCCAACAAAGAAGCCUGGUGGAUGUUUGUUUACAGUCUGAUGAUGGGACACCAUGCUCUGCAUCUUCAAAGUUUGUCUCUUGCUUAUUAUUCAUACACAGUAAUGUGAAGUAUGCUUAUAUCUAGUAUAACUGGACCGACCUGGUGCUCUUCAUUUAUGGAGGCUGUUGAGUCUGAAUGUUGGAUGUUGUGUAUCUCGUGUUCUCUGGGCUUUGUUGUCCUCAGUCUUUUUGCAGGCUCAGAAAACAAAACCAGGAGACCUGUAAAUGUUUCUUCUCCAAUUGGAUGAUGAUAAGACUGUGACAUGGGAUGCCACCUUUAGUCUUGUGAUGAAGCAAAGCUCAGGAAGAAGUGUGAUUAAAUGGUACCCACAUGUGUGCUGCUGAGAAGGAUGUACAGGGGCACCUGCAGCCAAAUCCAAGCCUCAGCAACUUCAAGUCUGUCAGCGUGCUGAGGUCACAGAAACAAGAAAAGCAGCUUCAGACUUCAGAGUGUUGUUUACAGUUUUCUGUCAUCAUGAGCUCCCCUGAAGUUUAUCACUAUUAGGCAAGCAUUUGUGCUCACAGAUGGUGACGGUGUGGAGAGACGGUGGUGUUUCCUCAGAGGAACUAGCAGAGUCACAAAGGGCACCAGUCCAUCUCACCACCUUGACUUGCUGACUGAUGCUCGUCUGCACUGCACAGAGGAAAUCAACUGACCGAGGAGUGUUUCUGAGUGAGGGAGAGAGGAGUCAUCAUCCAGAUGGGCAGGAUAUCAGUCUUGGACUGUCUAACCUGCCGGAGCAGCACUGAAUGAUCACCACACAUGAGCAUGUUCCUGCAACAUUCAGCAUCUGAUCCUUGUUCAUCUGUGUGCUUCUGCUUUUGUGUCAAAUGUCAACCAGCUGGAGAGGAAACUACACCAGUGUACUGGGAUGUUUCAGCAACACGUGCCAGAUGCUGUUCCUUCAUGGUGACAUCACCAGAGACAGCCCCGCCCACCUCAGGACCUCGCCAUUGAUCAUGAUGAUUAUAAUGAUGACAGCGAGCGGAACUAAGACUGUAAAAAUCCACGACCAGAAUGUUUAGAUGCUUUCUAAUUAUUCAUGAAUACUGAGAGCCUCUUUCUGUGUUUUGUCUGGUUUGGUUUUUUACCUCAUUUGUUACUAACAAAGUUCACCAAACUCACUCAGUUUACAUUCUGUAUGUUUCCAUCUUUACCAGCCACACUCUAACUGCAUUUAAGAAAAUAAUCCUUAGAAAUUGUCGUUUUUCUCUUUUGUAAUUGAUGAUAAUUCAGUGAAUAUACUGCGCUGCUUCCUUUUAUUUCGUCUCACAUUGCUUUAAGUUUUUCAGUGUCCAGUUAUUUUUUACUGCUGUUUGAAUUCUCUGUAUGUUUGACCUGUAGACUGUCUG
Oreochromis aureus is the source of this 1997-nucleotide long non-coding RNA. RefSeq lists it as uncharacterized. Lineage: Eukaryota; Metazoa; Chordata; Actinopteri; Cichliformes; Cichlidae. The record is from RefSeq and is a predicted model, not a curated record. The transcript is spliced from 7 exons.